Molecule: ribosomal RNA, 260 nt
Filed under: uncultured bacterium
Lineage: Bacteria
Description: partial 16S ribosomal RNA
Rfam family: Bacterial small subunit ribosomal RNA
Source: RNAcentral
CCGGCGCACGGGUGAGUAACACGUAUCCAACCUGCCGUCUACUCUUGGACAGCCUUCUGAAAAGGAAGAUUAAUACAAGAUGGCAUCAUGAGUCCGCAUGUUCACAUGAUUAAAGGUAUUCCGGUAGACGAUGGGGAUGCGUUCCAUUAGAUAGUAGGCGGGGUAACGGCCCACCUAGUCUUCGAUGGAUAGGGGUUCUGAGAGGAAGGUCCCCCACAUUGGAACUGAGACACGGUCCAAACUCCUACGGGAGGCAGCAG